AACGAACGCUGGCGGCAUGCCUAACACAUGCAAGUCGAACGAGACCUUCGGGUCUUUUGUCGCAAGGGUGCGUAACGCGUGGGAACCUGCCCUUAGGUUCGGCCUAACUCCCCGAAAGGGGUGCUAGUACCGGAUAAUGUCUUCGGACCAAAGAUUUAUCGCCUUUGGAUGGGCCCGCGUUGGAUUAGCUAGUUGGUAGGGUAAAAGCCUACCAAGGCGACGAUCCAUAGCUGGUCUGAGAGGAUGAUCAGCCACACUGGGACUGAGACACGGCCCAGACUCCUACGGGAGGCAGCAGUGGGGAAUAUUGGACAAUGGGCGAAAGCCUGAUCCAGCAAUGCCGCGUGAGUGAUGAAGGCCUUAGGGUUGUAAAGCUCUUUUAACCGGGAUGAUAAUGACAGUACCGGGAGAAUAAGCUCCGGCUAACUACGUG
Molecule: ribosomal RNA, 433 nt
Filed under: uncultured bacterium
Lineage: Bacteria
Description: partial 16S ribosomal RNA
Rfam family: Bacterial small subunit ribosomal RNA
Source: RNAcentral